AUGCCGGACGGAUCUGGUGCCUGUCGGCUGAAGCAGCAGGAGUUGGCAGAGCGACGGAUGCGGACGGGGUCAUCAACAGGGGCUGUAAGAGAAGGAGCUCAAGUUGGUUCACGGUGCGCCAGGAGGAGUGGAAGGCUGAGGUCGUUUGACGGUCGGACCAGCAGGAGCAAGGAGCCAACGGUGGGUUCGUUUGGGAAGGAUCUUGAGCUGUUAGACUCACCUGGAAUUUUGCCAAUGAGAAUUAGAGACCAGACAGCUGCACUUAAGCUUGCUAAGCUACCCAUUUAUUCCUUCUAUUCGUUGAUUAUAGGAACAACACAUGCGUUCAUCAUACAAACCUGCAGCUUAUGUGCGAUAGGAUGGACUCGACAUAAAAAAAGUUUCUCUUCGGCUGCUCUGAUUUUGAGCCAAGACCCUUGGGAGUUUGUCUGGCCUCAUUGUCGACAGUGUGCAUCAGUUAGUUAUGACCUCAUCUCUUCAGAUAUCCCUGACGAUCACAGGGAACGGUCCAACCAAAAGAAAAUAGUUGUAUCAAGUAAGCGCAAUAAUUUGUUGAUCUUUGCAAGUAAAGAGGAAGAAAUCAUGUUCCUUACUUUGGUGUGUGUGACAUGA
Molecule: ribosomal RNA, 612 nt
Filed under: Triticum aestivum (bread wheat)
Lineage: Eukaryota; Viridiplantae; Streptophyta; Magnoliopsida; Poales; Poaceae
Description: partial small subunit ribosomal RNA
Source: RNAcentral